RNAcentral lists this transfer RNA (71 nucleotides) under Pycnococcus provasolii. Its description in RNAcentral is "tRNA-Trp". It matches the Rfam family "tRNA". Rfam says of the family: Transfer RNA (tRNA) molecules are approximately 80 nucleotides in length. Their secondary structure includes four short double-helical elements and three loops (D, anti-codon, and T loops). The record is from RNAcentral. Lineage: Eukaryota; Viridiplantae; Chlorophyta; Pseudoscourfieldiophyceae; Pseudoscourfieldiales; Pycnococcaceae.
GUUCAAAUGGUGUAGUGGUAGCACGCGAGUUUCCAAAACUUAGGGUAGGGGUUCGAUUCCCUUUUUGAAUG